This 107-nucleotide non-coding RNA is filed under the name Photobacterium gaetbulicola. Its description in RNAcentral is "c-di-GMP sequence". It matches the Rfam family "c-di-GMP-I riboswitch aptamer". From Rfam's summary of the family: GEMM was predicted in a large-scale screen for bacterial structured RNA regulatory elements. Genes associated with GEMM are involved in a diverse array of functions, including chemotaxis regulation, signal transduction, secretion and chitin. Lineage: Bacteria; Pseudomonadati; Pseudomonadota; Gammaproteobacteria; Vibrionales; Vibrionaceae. The record is from RNAcentral.
UCACGAACAAGGCAAACCUACCGAAAGGUAGGGACGCAAAGCUUCCGGCCUAAGAGUCGUCGGAGUUUUUAUGAACUCAGUCAACUUAUGGUAGCGGGGUUGCCGAU